This 909-nucleotide ribosomal RNA is filed under the name uncultured Zetaproteobacteria bacterium. RNAcentral's name for it is "bacterial SSU rRNA". It matches the Rfam family "Bacterial small subunit ribosomal RNA", at positions 1 to 916 of the family's 1533-position model. The record is from RNAcentral. Lineage: Bacteria; Pseudomonadati; Pseudomonadota; Candidatius Mariprofundia.
AUGAUGCCAGRCGAAMGACGCKGGGCGGCGUGCCUAACACAUGCAAGUCGAACGGUAACAGGGACUUCGGUCCGCUGACGAGUGGCGCACGGGUGAGUAACGCGUGGAGUUACCUGCCCAUCAGUGGGGAACAACUCCGGGAAACSGGAGCUAAUACCGCAUACGACCUUCGGGUGAAAGAGGGGGAUCUUCGGACCUCUCGCUGAUGGAUGGUUCCGCGUCCGAUUAGUUAGUUGGUAAGGUAAUGGCUUACCAAGACGAUGAUCGGUAGCUGGUCUGAGAGGAUGAUCAGCCACACUGGAACUGAGACACGGUCCAGACUCCUACGGGAGGCAGCAGUGGGGAAUUUUGCACAAUGGGCGAAAGCCUGAUGCAGCGACGCCGCGUGCGGGAAGAAGGCCUUCGGGUUGUAAACCGCUUUCAACAGGGAAGAAGGAAUGAGGGCCAAUACCCCUCUGCCUUGACGGUACCUGUAGAAGAAGCCCCGGCUAAUUUCGUGCCAGCAGCCGCGGUAAUACGAAAGGGGCAAGCGUUGUUCGGAUUUACUGGGCGUAAAGAGAUCGUAGGUGGCUUGUUAAGUCGGAUGUGAAAUCCCGGGGCUCAACCCCGGAACUGCAUUCGAUACUGGCAGGCUUGAGUUCGGGAGGGGGAAGCGGAAUUCCGUGUGUAGCAGUGAAAUGCGUAGAUAUACGGAGGAACACCUGAGGCGAAGGCGGCUUCCUGGACCGAUACUGACACUGAGGAUCGAAAGCGUGGGUAGCAAACAGGAUUAGAUACCCUGGUAGUCCACGCCCUAAACGAUGUCUACUAGCCGUUGCGGGUAUCGACCCCUGCAGUGGCGCAGCUAACGCGAUAAGUAGACCGCCUGGGGRGUAUCGGSCGCMAGRCUAAACUCUAAAUGAUAGUAGA